GCAGGUGUAAUCUAGUGGUAGGAUGUCAGCCUUCCAAGCUGACCGCCCGGGUUCGAAACGGCGGAUCGCGACUCCCGGCACCUGCA
RNAcentral lists this transfer RNA (86 nucleotides) under Thermoplasmata archaeon. Its description in RNAcentral is "tRNA-Gly". It matches the Rfam family "tRNA". From Rfam's summary of the family: Transfer RNA (tRNA) molecules are approximately 80 nucleotides in length. Their secondary structure includes four short double-helical elements and three loops (D, anti-codon, and T loops). Further hydrogen bonds mediate the characteristic L-shaped molecular structure. tRNAs have two regions of fundamental functional importance: the anti-codon, which is responsible for specific mRNA codon recognition, and the 3' end, to which the tRNAs corresponding amino acid is attached (by aminoacyl-tRNA synthetases). tRNAs cope with the degeneracy of the genetic code in two manners: having more than one tRNA (with a specific anti-codon) for a particular amino acid; and 'wobble' base-pairing, i.e. permitting non-standard base-pairing at the 3rd anti-codon position. The record is from RNAcentral. Lineage: Archaea; Methanobacteriati; Thermoplasmatota; Thermoplasmata.